CUCAGUUCGGAUUGGAGUCUGCAACCCGACUCCAUGAAGCUGGAUUCGCUAGUAAUCGCGCAUCAGCCACGGCGCGGUGAAUACGUUCCCGGGCCUUGUACACACCGCCCGUCAAGCCAUGGGAGCCGGGGGUGCCUGAAGGCCGUGACCGCGAGGAGCGGCCUAGGGUAAAACUGGUGACUGGGGCUAAGUCGUAACAAGGUAUC
This 206-nucleotide ribosomal RNA is filed under the name uncultured bacterium. RNAcentral describes it as "partial 16S ribosomal RNA". It matches the Rfam family "Bacterial small subunit ribosomal RNA", at positions 1287 to 1500 of the family's 1533-position model. The record is from RNAcentral.